Non-coding RNA from Cinara cedri, 790 nucleotides. The record is from the annotation of a GenBank genome assembly. Lineage: Eukaryota; Metazoa; Arthropoda; Insecta; Hemiptera; Aphididae.
GUCCAUUGUUAAUAAAAAAUUAAUCUGAUCGAAGUCUAGUUAUACAUGUUUUGAAAUGUUGUAAUUUUUACAAUAAUUAUUGUCAAAAUAUUUUCUUUUAACAUGUAUACACAACUAAGAACUGCAUUACACUUAAUUUUUUUAAUUUUAGCACUGACUACCUACAACUUAUAAUAAACUUUGAGUAAAAUUUUCAAACAUUUUUGAAGAACCAAAACAAUUUUACCCACAUAAAAAACUCAAAAAUGUUAUGCCUAUAUUCUGUAAAUAACUAAAAAAUCGCCAGAAUAUAAUAAAUAUUUUACGAUGCAUAUAAAAGGCCAUUAUUAAUGUUCUGUGAAAAUGUUCGGCCUCUAUGAUUAUUUUUAACCAAAUUCCAUCAAAAACCCAAAAUCUAAAAUGAUAAAACUGAAUGCCGUAAACUUUCUUUGUUUUUCCGAAUUAUUAAAAAACUACAAGGAAAAUCAAUUAACUACCAACUUUCCAGGAAGGUGUCACACUUAAAAAUUGAGCAAAACAUUCCGGUAGAAGAUAUUCACAGAAAAAAAAUAAACAUUGCUUAACUAAUAGAAAAAAAAACAGAUGUUAUAUUCUGCAAUUUUCACUGUGAUUCAAUUUAUUUUAUUACUUAUGGAAAUGUACUAUGGGUUUUUAUAUUAUAAAUACAUUUAAUUGCUGUAGUUGGAAGUAAUAAGCUACCUGUUUUGUAAUGAUAGGUACUGGUAGUGUCAGUAUUUUGGUAAGUAGCAUGUAGCGUAAUAACACUAUAUUUUUUAUAGGAAAACAGCAC